Molecule: ribosomal RNA, 497 nt
Filed under: uncultured bacterium
Lineage: Bacteria
Description: partial 16S ribosomal RNA
Rfam family: Bacterial small subunit ribosomal RNA
Source: RNAcentral
GACGAACGCUGGCGGCGUGCCUAAUACAUGCAAGUUGAGCGCUGAAGGUUGGUACUUGUACCAACUGGAUGAGCAGCGAACGGGUGAGUAACGCGUGGGGAAUCUGCCUUUGAGCGGGGGACAACAUUUGGAAACGAAUGCUAAUACCGCAUAAAAACUUUAAACACAAGUUUUAAGUUUGAAAGAUGCAAUUGCAUCACUCAAAGAUGAUCCCGCGUUGUAUUAGCUAGUUGGUGAGGUAAAGGCUCACCAAGGCGAUGAUACAUAGCCGACCUGAGAGGGUGAUCGGCCACAUUGGGACUGAGACACGGCCCAAACUCCUACGGGAGGCAGCAGUAGGGAAUCUUCGGCAAUGGACGAAAGUCUGACCGAGAAACGCCGAGUGAGGGAAGAAGGUUGUCGGAUCGUAAAACUCUGUUGGUAGAGAAGAACGUUGGUGAGAGUGGAAAGCUCAUCAAGUGACGGUAACUACCCAGAAAGGGACGGCUAACUACGUG